GUGCCAGCAGCCGCGGUAAUACGUAGGGUGCAAGCGUUGUCCGGAAUUAUUGGGCGUAAAGAGCUCGUAGGCGGUUUGUCGCGUCUGCUGUGAAAUCCCGAGGCUCAACCUCGGGCUUGCAGUGGGUACGGGCAGACUAGAGUGCGGUAGGGGAGAUUGGAAUUCCUGGUGUAGCGGUGGAAUGCGCAGAUAUCAGGAGGAACACCGAUGGCGAAGGCAGAUCUCUGGGCCGUAACUGACGCUGAGGAGCGAAAGCAUGGGGAGCGAACAGGAUUAGAAACCCGUGUAGUCC
RNAcentral lists this ribosomal RNA (292 nucleotides) under uncultured Microbacteriaceae bacterium. RNAcentral describes it as "partial 16S ribosomal RNA". It matches the Rfam family "Bacterial small subunit ribosomal RNA", at positions 505 to 796 of the family's 1533-position model. The record is from RNAcentral. Lineage: Bacteria; Bacillati; Actinomycetota; Actinomycetes; Micrococcales; Microbacteriaceae.